Molecule: long non-coding RNA, 2851 nt
Filed under: Zea mays
Lineage: Eukaryota; Viridiplantae; Streptophyta; Magnoliopsida; Poales; Poaceae
Description: long non-coding RNA (ZMAY_LNC004358)
Source: RNAcentral
AAUGUCACAUCUUUACUACAUAACAGAAGUUCUAUACAAAAUAAAUAAAUAAUUACAUUAUAAGGAGACAACGGUCCAGCAACCCAAAGUUGACUGGGAGACGACGACCUAGACCUCUCACGAACACAUCGCAGCAUCCUCCAAGCGCCUCAUCCUGCGGUACCUGUUCUUGGCCUGUGGGGGUGUGAGACAGCAAGAGUGAGCUCACAUACGUUCAUCGCUCAACAAGUUGUGGGGAAUAAUGUGUAUGAACUCGCCAAAGGUGGGAGCUCAUGUGAAGUGUAAGGCUUACCAAAGAGGAUGGCUGAAGCUGAGCAUUGCUUUUAAAGUUGGUCAAAAUUUUAUUAGCAAUUACUAAGUAUAAGUAAAUACCAACCCAAUUAAGCAGUAGAACACAAGUAACAACAUCACCUGCGAUGCAAUGCAUAUGACAAAUUGAAUUUAGUUCCAUAAGUUAAUCAUGUGAGGGUCUGAGCUGCUCAUGACCGUGAGCACGGCUAGUAUACCAGUUUUACACUCUGCAGAGGUUGCGCAUCUUUACCAACAAGUCAUGUUACCCAUCUGCCAAGGGAUCGCGACUUCCCGUACACCUCUACUGAGGAGGCGAGGCAGGGUAACACUACGAGGCCUUUACAAAGUUCCACUAGCUUCAGAAAACCCGCUACAGUUUAUAGGAAGCUCCAAUGCAGGAAUCCCUUGCAGGACCGCCAUCGCAGCAAAAUCCUCCCGAGGGCCUCCCUACACUGACCACUCCCCUACUGCCCUUGCCCCUUUCGGGUAAGGUAGUCCUCCACUAGCUUUCCUAAUUAAUCAGCCAAGGGCGUCCCAUUAUACCCUUGUGGUAGCACUGUUUUCCCGGGUGGUCGCUCCAUGUUCCAAUUAACAUAAUGAUCUUAUCAUGAAGAGUGAUAAUAAACAGAUAAUAAAAGUGUAAUCAUGAGUAAUGUAUCUUCAUACCCAAAACCACAUAAAGCACUAGCAAGUACUACCCAAAAAGUUUAGUGGUAAACAAGGUAUAAAGAUAAUCAAACUAGGGUAACCUAUUGGGUCCCAUCAAAAUUAACCUAUGCAGAUCAUUAUGAUUAAUUAGAACAUGAGUGGGUAAAAGGAAGUGAUCAAGGGCACAACUUGCCUGGCACUUGAGAUUCCAGUUACCAGGGUGAUUCUUCAGAUCCUCGUGAUCUCACUGCUAGUCGUAGCAAUACAAACAAACAUGGUAUAGACAGAAUUAACAUCACACCAACCAUAAGUACUAACUUCAUAAAAAUAAUCUACACGUUGCUACGAGAUCGUGGGUUUGGGAACUAUUAAAAUCAGAGUUAAAACGAAUUAUGGGUAAAACAAUAUUUCUAGGCGCAAUAAAUCUAAUAGAUGUUGCACUUAAAUUAGGCAUGUAUUAAGUUAAAAUAUUUGAGUUGAUAUUAAUCAAUUUAACAAUUAUUUAUAAUAAGAGUAUGUUACAACUAUAAAUUAGAUUAACUAGAUUGCCUAGCUAACUAGCAUUAAUUAAACAAUUAAUUAAUUAUUUAAAACAUGUGGUAUAAUUAAAACAAUGUUAUUACUACGUACGCAAAAAAAUAAUAUGAACCUAACACAACUUGAACAAAUUAUUUGACCUAAAAGAUAUCACAUUUUUUUAUAAAUUAGUAGAGCUACAUAGAAAUAUGUGAUAUGAUGGUGGGAAAUUAAUCAUCGAAGUUGUCGCUAAAGUUGUGGAGGAACUCGAAUUUCGACAAGAUGGUCAUAGUGGCUUAUGGUUGCGAGCUUAGCUGACGUGGAUCGCUGAUAUUGGCUCCUGCCCACCAUGCGUGCGGCGGUGCUGGUCAACCGCCCCCGCAUGGCGUGAGCUGCUCCCUACGAUGCUCUCCAUUUCCCAUCUCUAUGCUUACGGGUGAAAGACGACUCCUCAUGUUUUAGCUGGCUCCUAGCAUUGGCUAUGGUCUAGGGAUGGUCGAGGCUCACGACUAUAUAUAUAUCCGGGGACCGAAUCCUAGCGUGGGAGAUUGUUCGGUUAAGAUUUGUUGCCAGGAAAUUCCCAACGAACCCGCUUAGUUCUGUUUUGAUUACCGGGAGAAUGAAGAAACUAGCGCUGCGGUCUCACAUGUCACCCAGAGCAGCCACAAAUAAUCCCUCGCAUCCCAUGACUAAUAGAAAAAUUUCCACCAAGCCACGUGUGUGUGGGGUUCCUUUUUUUUCCUCAACAACCCCCAUGUACGACUUGUUCUUUUCUUUCCAGGUUCUACGUGCAAGAAGUUGCUUUCUCCCUCCGUCUUUCUUCUACCUCCGAUCAAUGAGCAGCCAUGGUUGGGGGAGAAGGGAAGAGGGGUCGGCCAGGACGCUCGACCACACAGGCCAGCCAUGCACAGGGUGGGGCUGCGCCCGAGGGGGGCUGGGUUGCCGGGGAGCCGAGCGCUAGACAAGCGAGCAUGGGGCACAUCGGAGCAGCAGAGCUGCGGCGGUGCGCAACAGCAGGCUGCGGGCGACACACAAGCACGACUGUUUUGUAGCCAUAGCGUACGUUGCAAAACUGUGCAGAGAAACAAAGAGGGAAGGAGAUCUCACCUUCAAUGAAGCAGACUGGUUGACAACGGCGCGCAGGUCCGCGUUGAGGUGCCGGUUCUACGGUGGACAGGGGCAAGCUCUAGUCGAACGGUUCCAGGGAGCGCCCGAACGACGACGAACACAGAAAUCCGUGGCGGCGGCGAUUUCUCCCCCAGCGGCGGUCCUUUUCACUCGGUGAUGAGCUUCGACCCUCUCUGCGCUCAGCGAUACGGCUAGCCCAGCGAGGAUCACCAGACGGAUGAGGGGGUUCCCGAUGGCCCGCGAUUUAUACCCAGGCGGUAAGUCCGAG